AUUUGUUGCUGUUGAGAGUUCAGUUGUAGUCGGUGAGAAUAUAAGAGUGGUUGUGGGGCUUACAGCUGUAGUUGUAUAACCUUCAGUGGUUGAAAAUUGUGUUGUUGCAGCACCAUUUGUUGUUGUUGUAGGUGAAGUUGCUGAAGAUAUCAGAGUGGUUGUGGGGUUCACAGCUGUGCUAGCAGAAGCUUCAGUUGUCGAAGACAGUGGAGUUAUUGUUGGAGCAACAUUUUCUGUUGAUGGAGGUGCAGAGAAUACAGGCAUGGUUGUGGGGUUCCCAGCUGUGGUUGUAUAAGCUUCAGUUGUUGAAGAUUGUGCUGUUGCAGUUGGAGCAGCAUUUGUUGCUGUUGAGAGUUCAGUUGUAGUCGGUGAGAAUAUAAG
Long non-coding RNA from Cyprinus carpio carpio, 381 nucleotides. The record is from Ensembl. NCBI's taxonomy places the organism in Eukaryota, Metazoa, Chordata, Actinopteri, Cypriniformes, Cyprinidae.